This 599-nucleotide unclassified non-coding RNA is filed under the name Hevea brasiliensis (rubber tree). Lineage: Eukaryota; Viridiplantae; Streptophyta; Magnoliopsida; Malpighiales; Euphorbiaceae. The record is from RNAcentral.
CAGAAAGUUCACGUAGGCAGCAUGGAAAUCCAGUGCAAGGCCAAACAAACAUCCAGUCAGAUGUGCAGAUGCUUCUUUCACCUAUUACACAGAGCGAACAGUUGUUUCUUUCAUCUGUUGUUCCCCUUGCUAUUGUGCAUUUCGCUGAUUCAGUGUUGGUGGCAUCUUGUGCUCUUCUAUUGGAGUUGUGUGGUCUAUCUCCUGGUAUACUCCAAAUUGAUGUUGCGGCUUUGAGAAGAAUAGCCUCCUUUAAUAAAUCUGGCCCUUGUUCCAAUCACCUUCAGCAACUUUCCCCCAGGGGGUCCCCAUUUCAUUCAAAUAAUAGUGACAAUAAUAUCACUGAAUCUCUAGCACGAGGAUUGGCAGAUGAUUAUUGCCAGAAUGAUUGGUUCAAUCAAACUAUUCAAAAAAGUGAUCAGUUCACAACCUCUGACAGACAACCAUCUCGAGCUCUCAUGCUUGUCCUGCAACAUUUGGAAACAUCAAGUCUUCCGUCAUCAGCUGAUGGAGUGACUUGUGGUUUUUGGUUGUUAACUGGUAACGGUGAUGGAGUUGAACUGAGGUCUCAGCAAAAAACUGCUAGUGAACACUGGAGUUUG